Molecule: small nucleolar RNA, 105 nt
Organism: Bos taurus (domestic cattle)
Lineage: Eukaryota; Metazoa; Chordata; Mammalia; Artiodactyla; Bovidae
Product: Small nucleolar RNA U13
Source: Ensembl
AUCCUUCUGUGUUUCAUAAGCAUGAUGAUUGGGUUUUUAUACUAUUGCGCGAGAUAUGCCUCCCUCAAACUUUGCUACAUCAGCAUACUACCUCUUAAUGUGAAA